UUCAAAGGAAAGAAAGAUGAUUACAUGCGUAGCCCGGUUCUCAUUGGUGUUUCCUAUAAUUCGUGCAGAAUUCUCGUUAAACUAUCACUCAUCAUGAAUACACUCUUGAGGAACCUCACAAACUUCUGUUAGACGAGUGCCUGUUGAAUGGAGGUGAGAUAAGGCGCUGAAACGUUUGAUAAUGUCAGCUGUCUAUUUGUCCCUCGUGUCUGUCUUUCUGUUUGUCUCACUCUCCCUCGGGAGAAAAAAAAAAAAGGAAAACGUUACAUCCGUUUUCUGUUUUAGGUCGCGGCGCUCCAGGGGAUAAAUUCAUUAGCUCCCAACUGGUGGUGGGCGUGAAGGCGCAACAUAGGCGGUCCUGAUUUGGAGGCAUGAUUACCUUUUUGGCAUCGUCUUUAUUCUCCCCAUUUGAAGAGUUCACCUGCACCAGCACAAACGUCAAAACCGAAAUCCUUCGUUAAGAGGCGCCAUCCUAGCCCUGAUAGAUUUGAAGAACUGAACGUAAAAAAACGAAAAACAUAAAGAAAAAGAAAAACUACGGGCCCCAGUGACCUCCCGCCUGCCUGAGUUAGCUGGGUUACCUGGCCGCCACCACCUGUCUCCUCCUCCGGGACGCCAAGCCAGCGCUCCAGAUCCUGGCUGCCCCACUCUCAUAAUUGGAGACAGGGCGGGAGUGUGGCCAACGCUAAGAAAAAGUUCAACUGCUCAAAACAUGGGGGGAAAAAAAAGGCGACAAUCAAGACCUAGUGUACUUAAAUUGUGUGUGCGUGUGAAUUGUGAAUCUAAACGCAUUGAAACGUGCAUAUUGAGUGGUGCCUCAGGAAGACUAGAAAUCGGAGUGUUGUCUUAGAAAUUAUGUAAGACUCGGCAUUGGAAGUAAAAAGGCGAGGAAUGAACGCAAUGGAGGCGGUUCAGAGGACGCUGCAGGACACACAAGGCGACUCAGCGGACGAGGUGAGUGUUCCAUGCACCGCUUGUUGUGACUGCUUUUCCUCAUUGAUCCCGCGACUGUUAACUUAUUUGUGCACUGUGACAUCUGGCUCUGUGUUUCAAGCGUUUUCCCGUCUUAUCUUCGUUGUCUUG
Molecule: long non-coding RNA, 1083 nt
Organism: Scylla paramamosain (green mud crab)
Lineage: Eukaryota; Metazoa; Arthropoda; Malacostraca; Decapoda; Portunidae
Exons: 3
Source: RefSeq, a predicted model, not a curated record